GAAUGCUGACAUAAGUAACGAUAAAGCGGGUGAAAAGCCCGCUCGCCGGAAGACCAAGGGUUCCUGUCCAACGUUAAUCGGGGCAGGGUGAGUCGACCCCUAAGGCGAGGCCGAAAGGCGUAGUCGAUGGGAAACGGGUUAAUAUUCCCGUACUUGGUGUUACUGCGAAGGGGGGACGGAGAAGGCUAUGUUGGCCGGGCGACGGUUGUCCCGGUUUAAGCGUGUAGGUGUGUGUUCCAGGUAAAUCCGGUUCACUUUAACACUGAGGCGUGACGACGAGGCACUACGGUGCUGAAGCAACAAAUGCCCUGCUUCCAGGAAAAGCCUCUAAGCAUCAGGUAACAUCAAAUCGUACCCCAAACCGACACAGGUGGUCAGGUAGAGAAUACCAAGGCGCUUGAGAGAACUCGGGUGAAGGAACUAGGCAAAAUGGUGCCGUAACUUCGGGAGAAGGCACGCUGACACGUAGGUGAAGUGAUUUACUCAUGGAGCUGAAGUCAGUCGAAGAUACCAGCUGGCUGCAACUGUUUAUUAAAAACACAGCACUGUGCAAACACGAAAGUGGACGUAUACGGUGUGACGCCUGCCCGGUGCCGGAAGGUUAAUUGAUGGGGUCAGCGCAAGCGAAGCUCCUGAUCGAAGCCCCGGUAAACGGCGGCCGUAACUAUAACGGUCCUAAGGUAGCGAAAUUCCUUGUCGGGUAAGUUCCGACCUGCACGAAUGGCGUAAUGAUGGCCAGGCUGUCUCCACCCGAGACUCAGUGAAAUUGAACUCGCUGUGAAGAUGCAGUGUACCCGCGGCAAGACGGAAAGACCCCGUGAACCUUUACUAUAGCUUGACACUGAACAUUGAGCCUUGAUGUGUAGGAUAGGUGGGAGGCUUUGAAGUGUGGACGCCAGUCUGCAUGGAGCCGACCUUGAAAUACCACCCUUUAAUGUUUGAUGUUCUAACGUGGACCCGUUACCCGGGUUGCGGACAGUGUCUGGUGGGUAGUUUGACUGGGGCGGUCUCCUCCUAAAGAGUAACGGAGGAGCACGAAGGUUGGCUAAUCCUGGUCGGACAUCAGGAGGUUAGUGCAAUGGCAUAAGCCAGCUUGACUGCGAGCGUGACGGCGCGAGCAGGUGCGAAAGCAGGUCAUAGUGAUCCGGUGGUUCUGAAUGGAAGGGCCAUCGCUCAACGGAUAAAAGGUACUCCGGGGAUAACAGGCUGAUACCGCCCAAGAGUUCAUAUCGACGGCGGUGUUUGGCACCUCGAUGUCGGCUCAUCACAUCCUGGGGCUGAAGUAGGUCCCAAGGGUAUGGCUGUUCGCCAUUUAAAGUGGUACGCGAGCUGGGUUUAGAACGUCGUGAGACAGUUCGGUCCCUAUCUGCCGUGGGCGCUGGAGAACUGAGGGGGGCUGCUCCUAGUACGAGAGGACCGGAGUGGACGCAUCACUGGUGUUCGGGUUGUCAUGCCAAUGGCACUGCCCGGUAGCUAAAUGCGGAAGAGAUAAGUGCUGAAAGCAUCUAAGCACGAAACUUGCCCCGAGAUGAGUUCUCCCUGAGACUUAAAGUCUCCUGAAGGAACGUUGAAGACGA
RNAcentral lists this ribosomal RNA (1577 nucleotides) under Salmonella enterica subsp. enterica serovar Enteritidis. Its description in RNAcentral is "partial 23S ribosomal RNA". It matches the Rfam family "Bacterial large subunit ribosomal RNA", at positions 1292 to 2847 of the family's 2925-position model. The record is from RNAcentral. Lineage: Bacteria; Pseudomonadati; Pseudomonadota; Gammaproteobacteria; Enterobacterales; Enterobacteriaceae.